Molecule: ribosomal RNA, 775 nt
Filed under: uncultured bacterium
Lineage: Bacteria
Description: bacterial SSU rRNA
Rfam family: Bacterial small subunit ribosomal RNA
Source: RNAcentral
AUUGAACGCUGGCGGCAUGCUUUACACAUGCAAGUCGAACGGCAGCGCGGGCUUCGGCCUGGCGGCGAGUGGCGGACGGGUGAGGAAUGCAUCGGAAUCUGCCCAGUCGUGGGGGAUAACGUAGGGAAACUUACGCUAAUACCGCAUACGACCGAGAGGUGAAAGCGGGGGACCUUCGGGCCUCGCGCGAUUGGAUGAGCCGAUGCCGGAUUAGCUAGUUGGCGGGGUAAAGGCCCACCAAGGCGACGAUCCGUAGCUGGUCUGAGAGGAUGAUCAGCCACACUGGGACUGAGACACGGCCCAGACUCCUACGGGAGGCAGCAGUGGGGAAUAUUGGACAAUGGGCGCAAGCCUGAUCCAGCAAUGCCGCGUGGGUGAAGAAGGCCUUCGGGUUGUAAAGCCCUUUUGUACGGGAAGAAAGACGCUGGGUUAAUACCCUGGCGGGAUGACGGUACCGUGAGAAUAAGCACCGGCUAACUUCGUGCCAGCAGCCGCGGUAAUACGAAGGGUGCAAGCGUUACUCGGAAUUACUGGGCGUAAAAGCGUGCGUAGGCGGUUUGUUAAGUCCGUUGUGAAAGCCCUGGGCUCAACCUGGGAACUGCAGUGGAUACUGGCAGGCUAGAGUGCGGUAGAGGAUGGUGGAAUUCCCGGUGUAGCGGUGAAAAUGCGUAGAGAUCGGGAGGAACAUCGAUGGCGAAGGCAGCCAUCUGGAACCAGCACUGACGCUGAGGCACGAAAAGCGUGGGGGAGCAAACAGGAUUAGAUACCCUGGUAG